RNAcentral lists this long non-coding RNA (608 nucleotides) under Mytilus galloprovincialis (Mediterranean mussel). The record is from RNAcentral. Lineage: Eukaryota; Metazoa; Mollusca; Bivalvia; Mytilida; Mytilidae.
AAUCUUCUCCUCUGAAACUACUAGGCCAAAUUAAUCCAAACUUGGCCACAAUCAUCUUUGGGGUAUCUAGUUUAAAAAAUGUGUCCUGUGACCCGGCCAUCCAACCAAGAUGGCCGCCAUGGCUAAAAAUAGAACAUAGGGGUAAAAUGCAGUUUUUGGCUUAUAACUCAAAAACCAAAGCAUUUAGAGCAAAUCUGACAUGGGUAAAAUUGUUUAUCAGGUCAAAACCUAUCUGCCCUGAAAUUUUCAGAUGAAUCCGACAACCUGUUGUUGGGUUGCUGCCCCUAAAUUGGUAAUUUUAAGGAAAUUUUACUGUUUUUGGUUAUUAUCUUGAAUAUUAUUAUAGAUAGAGAUAAACUUUAAACAGCAAUAAUGUACAGCAAAGUAAGAUUUACAAAUAAGUCAACAUGACUGAAAUGGUCAAUUGACCCCCUAAGGAGUUAUUGUCCUUUAUAGUCAAUUUUUAACAAUUUUUAUAAAAUUUGUAAAUUUUUACUAACAUUUUCCACUGAAACUACUGGGCCAAGUUCAUUAUAGAUAGAGAGAACUGUAAGCAGCAAGAAUGUUCAGUAAAGUAAGACGUACAAACACAUCACCAUCACCAAAAC